Molecule: long non-coding RNA, 908 nt
Organism: Helianthus annuus (common sunflower)
Lineage: Eukaryota; Viridiplantae; Streptophyta; Magnoliopsida; Asterales; Asteraceae
Exons: 4
Source: RefSeq, a predicted model, not a curated record
GUUAGGUUUUAGUGGCACUUUGUGUAUGCCAUAUUUGCUUAGUAGACACUUUUAUUGGUUGUGAGGGAAGGAGGGACUGUUGCAUCUUCAUAGUCAUGACUCUUUAUUUAUUGCCAGAAGAAUCUUCAAGAUCGUCAUACAAAUUCUCUUAUGCGGCUGAACAACUUCAAGCUCUCAUGGAUACCCUUAGUUCAACAGAGCCUCAUUUCAUCCGCUGUGUGAAGCCAAAUCAGUUAAUCAACCCUCAAAAGUUUGAAAAUUAGAGUGUGCUACAUCAGUUAUCUUGUAGGGGUGUUUUGGAGGUUGUACAAAUAAUUCUUGCGGUUUAUCCUACUUGAAAAAUUUAUCAUGAGUUAGUAGAUCGAUCUAGAAUCAUUUCCAUGGAAGUUAUGGGUGGAAGCGAUGUUUAAGGUGGACUUGCUGAGUGAUUAUAUUUAAUAUUUAUUGAAGCUGAUUUUGAUAAGUUAGAUGUCUAGUUUGUUGAUUCUCUAACACAAAUUGGCGUCCGGGUUGACUUGCUAAGGCGUUUAUUUUGAAAUGAGUGAACGCGGGCUUGAUUCUAGUUCAAAAGCUGCAUCCCACAUAAUUUUAAGAGCAUCAUUUGGUGUAAGAAUUAUCAAGGUAUUAACAUUGAUGCACUAGAGGCAGCAUGGAUGUAAAAAGUUUAAUUGAUCAGUAUGUUAACUACGUUUCGCAUUGUUUGUUUGAAAGUUUAACUGUUAACCACCCAAAUUACAGUUUUCCGCUUUAUUAUUUUGUUGUAAUAAAAACAUCAAUCAAAACAUACAAAUGGGCUACGGAUGAAACGCAGGGUACAUUUACUAGUUGGUGACAUUUGAGUGUCCAUAUAUUGAAUGUGUACAUGCUGCUAAAGUAUAUAAAAAAGUGACACUUGUAAGUGAUUUAUG